AUGCGCUGAGAGACCAAGUUCCUUGAAGUGAGGGGCUGCUUCCAGAGACUGGUGAGUGAGGAGUGCAGCUGUGGGAUUCCUGCUUGAGAGAAAUCAGAAGGGCUGGAUGGGAUCAAGCCACAGGCCCACCCAGGCCAGGCAUCUUCUCUCUCAUGAUCUGCAGCAGUACCAAAGAACAGAGCAAACAGAUCUGGAUGUGGCAGGUGGUUCAGGCAAUUCAUAGCACAAGCAAUUGCUGAGAGCAGCAGAACUGCAGUUGCACAUGAGCAGAAAUUAUCUGCCAGAAGAUCUCUCCCAAGGUUCAGCCUGAGUGAGAAGCAAGGGACCUGUGUAUAAACAUAAGAAUUUAUGGACAGAUAGAAAAUCCUCAUUAUUAUCAUUUCCACAAUUGAAUUCUAACCAAAGGCCUGCAAGCAUCUUUGUUUCAAAGCUUGCCUAGAUCCUUCCUACAUUCUUCAGAAGGUUUGAGCAAAGAACACAUCAAAACGUGUAGGCACAUCUCCCACCAACUAGAUACCAGCAGCCAGGUAUCUGAAAUAAUUUUCUUUCACUGUGCCUUCAGGUGUUCCCAUUGUACCCCCAAAGUACAGCAAAACACAGCAAAAGAGCUCUGGAGGUAAACAGCCAAAUCAGCACCCACCAUCCCGCUCACUGAAACACUCUGUGUUCACAAUAACGCCCCUGCUUUGAUCCCUUGCCAAGAAUAACACAGACAGUCUAUUAAAACAUCUUUAAUAACAUGAUAUAAUUAAAAUAUCUAACGUGCAACUCAAAGAAAUGAAUAUGAAGCUUGUUUAAGUCUGUUUCCACACCCCUCCAAACUUGACUGACGGGUUCCAAACCUUCGUUAAUUGGAUACCCCAGUAUUUGUGUGUGUGUGUGUGCUGUGUAUCAGUUGGGAGCAGAAGUGGCAAAUAAUCAGAUUUGAAAGGAUUUAGGUGCCAUGGUAGCUUUAAAAAUCCUGCAAGGUACAUGUGUGAGCAUUUACAUUUCUGUUUAAAGUGGCCUGAAAUGCAUUGGAGGACACUUGUCCCUGAAGCUUUUAUCAGCCUGUGUGUUUUAAGUCUCUGAAGCAAUUGAGAAGUGAACUCUAAAUG
Chiroxiphia lanceolata (lance-tailed manakin) is the source of this 1097-nucleotide long non-coding RNA. RefSeq lists it as uncharacterized. NCBI's taxonomy places the organism in Eukaryota, Metazoa, Chordata, Aves, Passeriformes, Pipridae. The transcript has 3 exons. The record is from RefSeq and is a predicted model, not a curated record.